This 392-nucleotide ribosomal RNA is filed under the name uncultured bacterium. RNAcentral describes it as "bacterial SSU rRNA". It matches the Rfam family "Bacterial small subunit ribosomal RNA", at positions 30 to 417 of the family's 1533-position model. The record is from RNAcentral.
AUUGAACGCUGGCGGCAUGCCUUACACAUGCAAGUCGAACGGCAGCACGGGAGCAAUCCUGGUGGCGAGUGGCGAACGGGUGAGUAAUAUAUCGGAACGUGCCCAGUCGUGGGGGAUAACGUAGCGAAAGCUACGCUAAUACCGCAUACGAUCUAUGGAUGAAAGCGGGGGAUCGCAAGACCUCGCGCGAUUGGAGCGGCCGAUAUCAGAUUAGGUAGUUGGUGAGGUAAAGGCUCACCAAGCCGACGAUCUGUAGCUGGUCUGAGAGGACGACCAGCCACACUGGGACUGAGACACGGGCCCAGACUCCUACGGGAGGCAGCACGUGGGGGAAUUUUUGGGACAAUGGGCGCAAGCCUGAUCCAGCAAUGCCGCGUGCAGGAUGAAGGCCU